UACGAAGGGGGCUAGCGUUGUUCGGAAUUACUGGGCGUAAAGGGCUCGUAGGCGGCCAACUAAGUCGGACGUGAAAUCCCCAGGCUCAACCUGGGAACUGCGUCCGAUACUGGAUGGCUUGAAUUCGGGAGAGGGAUGCAGAAUUCCAGGUGUAGCGGUGAAAUGCGUAGAUAUCUGGAGGAAUACCGGUGGCGAAGGCGGCAUCCUGGACCGACAUUGACGCUGAUGAGCGAAAGCUAGGGGAGCAAACGGG
RNAcentral lists this ribosomal RNA (253 nucleotides) under uncultured bacterium. Its description in RNAcentral is "partial 16S ribosomal RNA". It matches the Rfam family "Bacterial small subunit ribosomal RNA", at positions 524 to 776 of the family's 1533-position model. The record is from RNAcentral.